UGUGAAGGAUGUUCUUCGUGAGAUGAAAGAGCUCAAGCCUGCUUCCCCUGACCUGAGAGAUGAAGCUUCUGAUGGCAGUUCUAGCAAAGUAGAAAGCAGGCCUCAAGAUGAUGAUGGUGAUGAUUUAAGCGAGGAUGAUAUAGGCAGUGACUUGUCACCUGAAGAAAUGAAAGUUGCUCAACUAGCUCAAGGGGUUGUAUCUGAGACACUUGUGACAAUAAAGGAACUUAUACGCACCAUCACUGGUUUGCUUAAGCAAGAAGCUCCAGACGACAAUAGUAAAUUUGCGGAUUCUUUGGAGAAAUUAUUGAAGCUAUGUCAAGGAGUAGGAGUACUGGCUGAUGAAAUUGGAGCCUGUCUUUACCCCCCUCAGGAGAUUGCUGCAAUAAAGGUGGCUUUGGGGAAAAUAUCAAGUAGCAUUAAUGAAGUGCAACAAGAGGUGGAAAGUUUUCAAACAUCUUCCAAGUCCGUGGGUGAGGCCUGCAAUGGGUUGAGGACUUUGUUAAAACAAAUGGAGGCCGAACUGGAUUGCUCCAGCACAACAGACUUGGCAAAUAAAUUGCAGAACGUUGCUGUGAUCAAUAAGGGAGAGAGAUUUGAAACUUCUGUCAACUGAGCCAACUUGUCAAGAGAAAAUUUGUUCUGAAAAGUUGUUUUCUUUUAAUAUUUAUACUUUCUCAUUCGAUGUUUAAAGUCUUACUCAGCAUUCUAGUCGCAUAAUAAAUCAAUUGUGCUAUCUAUCAGUAGAAGAUUUGGUGGCUGAUUUUUUCUGCUUGUCACUAUGACUCAUUGUUUAAUAAUAAUAAUACAUAACGAGCCCACUGAAUUGUUGCAUAGUUAAGUCAGCUUCCAGUAAGCUUAACAACCCAUGCACCUCCUAAGUAAAGACCCAAAAGUGACGUUGCCAGAAGCAUCUGAGGCAGAGGAACCGUUAGUUAACAUGUACCUUGGGUCACGGAAUUGUUAACAUCGACUUCUAUUUUAUUCUCUUUGUUUAAAAGUGUUCAAAAUUUCUUUUUAUUAAUCCAAUAAGAGAUUGCAAAUAUUAAAAAAAAAGAAAAUGGAUAAAUUAAAAAAAUGAAAUAAAUAUUAUUUUAAAAAAUCAAAAUAAAAAAUUUGUUUAUAAAUGUUUAAAAUUCUCUUUUGUUAAUCAAAUAAAAGAUUAUAAAUAUUAAAGGAAAAAAAGAAAAUGGGUUAAGUAAAAAAAGAGUAAAAUAAAUAUUAUUUUCAAAAAAUUAAGAUUAAAAAGUUAAUGUUUUGGAUUUCUUGUUGAUAAGGGAAAAAGAACUAGAGAAGAAGAAUAAGAGAUUGGAUGAGAUCGAGCUAAAGAUAGAAAGAAAAUUGGUUUUAUUUUUUAAAAAAAAUAGUAAUAUUUAUUUUUAAGUUUCUUAAAAAUUUAAAUUUAUUUAUUUGUGAAACGACAUCAUUAGAUACCCGGUAUAUCCUAUAUAAAUCCUAAUAAGGAAUAAAUAAGAAAUAAAAUUAUUAACAAAGCAAAGUAAAAAUAAAAUCAUAGUGGCACCGUUUUUGACCUUUAUCAGGCUACAGCGGCCACUUCAAGGCGUAGUCAUGCUAAGAAACCCCAAAAGCAAAGACACCGAACAAAAGAAAAAAAAAAUUUUGAGGAGAUGGGAAAAGCAGAGAAAACAGAGCUGAAUCGAUCACUCACGGCCCACCUCAAUACCAUCCAGGAAACCUUGCAGGUUUUUUUUCAGUUUUUUUUCUUUUACAUGUUUGCAUGAGUUUAGCUUUUCGUGUUUAUGGGAUUGUUUUUGGUUAUUGUAAGCAGGUGUUGGAUCAAACUGCUUCUUCUUCUUUGGAGAAAGUAACCUGGACUCAAGUUAUCCUGAUUGCUGAACAACUCUCCAAGCAAGCUACUAUUGGUAUCUCUAUUUUCAUUUUCUUUCUUGGAUAGUUAACUUCUUUUUCCUAUUGAGAUAUAUUUUUUUUCUUUUUCCUAUUGAGAUAUGAAAAUUAUUUGGAUUUAUAUGUGAGCUUUGGAUAGCUUCCCUUCUUCUUCUUGUUAGGUGCAAAAACUUUACCUUCAUAUGUGAAUUGAAAUUGCAUUACACCCAAUUUGAUGCCUGAACUAGGUGCUCUUUUAAUGAAAGCAUUUGGGUAAUUCUUUUAUGGAGUCAUUACUAGUGAUUGAAUAGGCUUUAGGUUCAAACUCGAUAUUGAUAUUCUGUUGUUCUUACAUCUUACUAGUCCCACAUGCCAAAAUUGGUAGCCGUAAAGUAUAUAAAAUAAAGCUUAAGAAGAACUCUCAUUUUAUGACAAAAUAGUAGUUUUUUUUCAUCUGUUUAUUAUUUAUUUCGAAGAUUCUGUUUUGUUUCAUACAAAAAAGAAUGGGACACAAACAAAUUUUUAUUGGUUGCUUUCCUUUUCUCCCCAUAAUUCUGUGUGGCAUUUUGGAUUUGUUGAGUUUAAUGAUUGCUUCUUCUGUUUGUUUAACAGCUGGAAUGCUUUGGAAUGGGGAAGCACCUGAAGCUAAACAACUUGAGGAGAACAUGACAUCGUAUUUCAAUGUGCUACAGGGCUUCCUUUUGCUCUCCCAUGGAAGCAAUGUUGGUGCUGGCCCAACUCUCUCUUCAAGCAUCCAUGAAUCGGUGAAGCAAGUUGUUGAUUGCAGUUUUAGGUUAAUGAAGGAAUCUGUCUCAUUAUAUGGUAAAUAGCUUCCCUCUUUCUCUCGGAACUGCAUGUUAAUGCACCCAUGCAACCAUGAAAAUGAUUUGCCAUUCAAGUGUGCUUUAAAAUCUAGGGUGAAGAAGUAAAGGGUUAGUUUAGUUAAGAUAUGUAACCCUUAGUCUGAUGGUUGAUUCCUUAUUUUUAAAAGAACUUUGAGAAUGUAAUGGAACAGUAGUGAUAAUUAGGUAGUGUUUUCUAAAGCAAUGUUAACAUGUGGGACAGAACACUUAAGAAUCACGACUGGAAUGAUCCAAUUAAAUAGUUUCAAGCAAUGCUUUGACGUAUGAGGUAAUUGUUUGUACUUUCUCUUGUAAUGAGUUUGUGUUAUUAAUUGAACUGCGAUGUAUAGUAUCUUAUCAAUAUGUAGUCUGAAUGUCAAUGGGAUUGGUGAUCAUUGUUUGGGGUACUUCAUGCAAGCAUGAAUGUUAUUCCUGUGCAUCUCUUCCCUGUACAUUUGUAUGAAUCAAUAAGUUUCCUGUUAAAAACCACAAUAACAGUCUCCUUUUAUAGUUUUAAUAGUUUAUUAGGGAAAAAUGAUUGAAGUUGCACACAAGAAGGAAAUUAAAUCGAGAACUAAUUAAUGUAUAAUUUCUUCUGCAAUAAUGCAUGCGAACAGGUGGACCUAUUUUAGAUUUGACUAUUCUUUAUGGUCAAAACUGAAUAUGUCCAUCCAAACGAUUGGUUUUGUUCUUCCUUCAAGACACUCAACAACACUGAUGUUCAAUGCUAGCAGGAUCUCACAAUGGGGACAAGAAACUUUUAAUGCCUCGGUUUGUUGGAGCAGUAUGGGAGGCAUGUGAUGCUCUUAAGAAGGUCCCUGCCACAAAUGUGAUAGCAAUUGGGCGGGCAAUGACGCAGGUAGCAGUUUCUGUGAAGGAUGUUCUUCGUGAGAUGAAAGAGCUCAAGCCUGCUUCCCCUGACCUGAGAGAUGAAGCUUCUGAUGGCAGUUCUAGCAAAGUAGAAAGCAGGCCUCAAGAUGAUGAUGGUGAUGAUUUAAGCGAGGAUGAUAUAGGCAGUGACUUGUCACCUGAAGAAAUGAAAGUUGCUCAACUAGCUCAAGGGGUUGUAUCUGAGACACUUGUGACAAUAAAGGAACUUAUACGCACCAUCACUGGUUUGCUUAAGCAAGAAACUGCAGACGACAAUAGUAAAUUUGUGGAUUCUUUGGAGAAAUUAU
This 3865-nucleotide long non-coding RNA is filed under the name Theobroma cacao (cacao). RNAcentral describes it as "long non-coding RNA (TCAC_LNC001022)". The record is from RNAcentral. Lineage: Eukaryota; Viridiplantae; Streptophyta; Magnoliopsida; Malvales; Malvaceae.